CAGCCGCCGCGGUAAUACGGAGGGUGCGAGCGUUACCCGGAUUUACUGGGUGUAAAGGGCGUGUAGGCGGUCUCUCAAGUCCGAUGCUAAAGACCGAAGCUCAACUUCGGGGGUGCGUUGGAUACUGUGAGGCUAGACGGUCGGAGAGGGUAGCGGAAUUUCCGGAGUAGCGGUGAAAUGCGCAGAUACCGGAAGGAACGCCAAUAGCGAAAGCAGCUACCUGGACGAUUUGUGACGCUGAGGCGCGAAAGCGUGGGGAGCAAACCGGAUUAGAGACCCCAGUAGUCCCUGUCUCUUAUAC
This 301-nucleotide ribosomal RNA is filed under the name uncultured bacterium. RNAcentral's name for it is "partial 16S ribosomal RNA". It matches the Rfam family "Bacterial small subunit ribosomal RNA", at positions 509 to 807 of the family's 1533-position model. The record is from RNAcentral.